This 2338-nucleotide ribosomal RNA is filed under the name metagenome. Its description in RNAcentral is "bacterial LSU rRNA". It matches the Rfam family "Bacterial large subunit ribosomal RNA", at positions 1 to 1977 of the family's 2925-position model. The record is from RNAcentral.
UUAAGAUACUAAGGGCAAUUGGUGGAUGCCUUGGCGUCAGGAGGCGAUGAAGGACGUGGUAGGCUGCGAUAAGCCUCGGGGAGCCGUCAAGCAGGCUAUGAUCCGGGGAUUUCCGAAUGGGGAAACCCACCUGGAGUAAUGUCCAGGUAUCCUUAGGCUGAAUCCAUAGGCUUAAGGAGGCGAACCCGGGGAAGUGAAACAUCUCAGUACCCGGAGGAGAAGAAAUCAAAAGAGAUUCCCAGAGUAGCGGCGAGCGAAAUGGGAAGAGCCCAAACCAGGUGCUUUCGAGCAUCUGGGGUUGUAGGGCCUCCAUGAAGCGAUCCAUGAGUAGAUAGCAGAAGUACCUGGGAAGGUACCCCAUAGAGGGUGAAAGGCCCGUAUGCGAAAUCGAAAGUGGCGCAGGAGGUACCUGAGUACCGCGGGACACGUGAAAUCCCGUGGGAAUCUGGGAGGACCAUCUUCCAAGGCUAAAUACUACCUGACGACCGAUAGCGCACUAGUACCGUGAGGGAAAGGUGAAAAGAACCCCUGUUAGGGGAGUGAAAUAGAACCUGAAACCAAUUGCCUACAAGCAGUUCGAGCCGAGCACCUCACUAAACGUGUUAGCAGGAGAUGCAAGAUGUAUUAUGUGUAUGUGAUAAGAUCAGAUAUCUCGACUUUUUGAGUUGAAAAAAAUGUUCAAUAUUUUCACGCGAUUAUAGACCUGACCUGUCAGAGUAUCCAGUUUUCGGGAAACGAUCAACGUUGGCAUAAAUCGCCAAAAAUUGUCUAAAUCAACCUAGUUUUGGUCAUUUGAACAUUAGAAAAUUCGAAUUUGUUUCGGAUUUCGAUAUUCGAAUUUCGGAUUUCUUAACAUUCGGAACUCCGAAAGUUGAGUCAGAUAUUAAAGGAGCAUGAGCUAGCAAGUUUAGUGAGGUGCUCGGUGAGAGCGUGCCUUUUGCAUAAUGGGCCAGCGAGUUAAUCUGCAGUGCGAGGUUAAGCUGAAAAGCGGAGCCGUAGCGAAAGCGAGUCUGAAAAGGGCGAAUUAGUACUGCGGAUUAGACCCGAAGCCGAGUGAUCUAUCCAUGGGCAGGGUGAAGCCCCGGUAACACGGGGUGGAGGCCCGAACCAGUGAAGGUUGAAAACUUCUUGGAUGACCUGUGGAUAGGGGUGAAAGGCCAAUCAAACUCGGUGAUAGCUGGUUCUCCCCGAAAUAUAUUGAGGUAUAGCCUCGGGUGUUUACUUGCGGAGGUAGAGCACUGAAAGGGCUAGGGGCCCCACCAGGUUACCAAACCCUAUCAAACUCCGAAUGCCGUAAGUAUAAGCCCGGGAGUCAGACUAUGGGUGAGAAGGUCCAUGGUCGAGAGGGAAACAGCCCAGACCGUCGGCUAAGGUCCCCAAAUCCAUGCUAAGUGGGAAAGGAGGUGGAACCGCCCAGACAGCCAGGAGGUUGGCUUAGAAGCAGCCAUCCUUUAAAGAAAGCGUAAUAGCUCACUGGUCUAGUGGUUCUGCGCCGAAGAUGUAACGGGGCUAAGCAUGGUACCGAAGCCACGGCCGAGCACCUAAAGUGUUAGGUGCUCGGGGUAGGGGAGCGUUCUCCUAAGGGAUGAAGGUAUGCCGUGAGGUAUGCUGGACUAAGGAGAAGUGAUAAUGCUGGCAUGAGUAACGAUAAAACGGGUGAGAAACCCGUUCGCCGUAAACCCAAGGUUUCCUGGGUAAAGCUAAUCUGCCCAGGGUUAGUCGGCCCCUAAGGCGAGGCCGAAAGGCGUAGCUGAUGGGAAACAGGUUAAUAUUCCUGUACCUGCUGGGUAGUCGUUUGAGCGAAGGGGGGACGCAGAAGGGUAGGUCAGCCACCUGUUGGAAUAGGUGGUUCAAGCCUGUAGGCUGGGGACUUAGGCAAAUCCGGGUCCCUGAUAAGGCUGAGAGGUGAUGACGAGUCAAUAAAGACGGAAGUGACUGAGCCCAUGCUGCCGAGAAAAGCCUCUAAGCGAGACUACCUGGUGGACCGUACCGCAAACCGACACAGGUGGGUGGGGUGAGUAACCCAAGGCGCUUGAGAGAACUCUGGCUAAGGAACUCGGCAAAAUGACCCCGUAACUUCGGGAGAAGGGGUGCUCUCUUGGGUGAAGGGAUUUAACUUCUGGAGCCUGGGAGAGCCGCAGAGAAAUGGCGGGGGCGACUGUUUACUAAAAACACAGGUCUCUGCUAAGUCGUAAGACGAAGUAUAGGGACUGACGCCUGCCCGGUGCCGGAAGGUUAAGGGGAUCAGUUAGCCUUCGGGCGAAGCUGUGAACCGAAGCCCCGGUAAACGGCGGCCGUAACUAUAACGGUCCUAAGGUAGCGAAAUUCCUUGUCGGGU